AGUUGAUCUUGUUCCGUGUCUUGUUCGGACUUGAUUGCAACCGAAUCGAACCAGCUGUCGUUUCUUUUGGGAUUUGGUUUACGAGCUUCGAAGAUUUUGGACGAUUUUCGACGGAUAAUAGAUUUCGGUCUUCGUGGCGGAAGACGAGAUGGGAAGGAACCGGUUUGCGAUCGAGGUAGCGGUUGGUGUUUUACUUUCCGCGGGAGGUUGGGGCACAUACCUGAUGAAACUGGCAACAAACGUAUUCCAAUCAGAUCCUGCCGUCCACGUGUGGUCCCGCGUUGCAGCGCGAU
This is a long non-coding RNA of Culex quinquefasciatus (southern house mosquito), 293 nucleotides long. RefSeq lists it as uncharacterized. NCBI's taxonomy places the organism in Eukaryota, Metazoa, Arthropoda, Insecta, Diptera, Culicidae. The record is from RefSeq and is a predicted model, not a curated record. The transcript has 3 exons.